This is a long non-coding RNA of Chinchilla lanigera (long-tailed chinchilla), 1612 nucleotides long. NCBI's taxonomy places the organism in Eukaryota, Metazoa, Chordata, Mammalia, Rodentia, Chinchillidae. The record is from Ensembl.
AUGCCAGCCAGCCUAGAAGGCAACCAGAGGUCGACACUGAGCUUUGCUGCUUCAGCGAUGGGAGCUGUGCUGAGCGCGGGACCCCACCUGCAUUUCUCCAGGCAUGGGAGAGGAGAAAAUCUACCAAAGGUCAGACUCUUCCCAAGAAGCCAACCCAUCCCAGGCCUGAACUUUAUGGACGCAUCCUCCCCACAUCCCCAGUUUUGGGAUGCAAGGCACACUGGAAAAUCUCCAGAGAGCUGCCAGCCUCCACAGCUCGCCCAGCCCAGAGGCCGCAGGGUCUCCGAGACUGAAAUUGAUCUCUGUUGCUUUGGAUGAUGGUAUUCACUCCAAAUAAGCUACCGAGAGAAUCUUUCCAGAGGGAACAGAGAAAGAAAGAGAAGGAGAGAGCCAGCCUGGACAGCUGGACAGGCAAAAUUUAGUUCUGUCUUGCUAUAAAUAAGUGUGCAGCUUUAUCCAGAGCUCCAUGACUGAGAUCCACUACUGCUUCCCAUGGUGGGAAAAAGACAAGGUUGGGGGUUAUUUCUGGAUUCUCAGUGGGAUUUAGAUAGCUCACAGGAUGUGCAGUACAGACUGGACUCAUAAAAUACUAACAUAAAGCCUGCAGUCUGGAAUUAAGCACCAUUACCGGCUUCUCUACUUGCUAUGUCACCUUGGGAAAAUGACUUGUCUGUCUCAGUUUUCACAUCUGUAAAAUGGGAAUAUUAAUCAUGACCUCACCUAUUGAGAAGGUCAAAUGAGUUGAUGAAAGUGAAGUGCUUAGAACCAUGGCUAGCAUUGGUUUAUGAAUAGUUCCUGAGCACAACAUGGCCAUACAUUACAGCAUUCAGUCCUUCUGACUGUCUUUGAUAUAGAUAUUAUCCACUCGUAACUCACUGAGGAAGAGGACCUAGAGAAGGAUGGAGUCUUGAACAACUGGAUCUCAGCUGGUGAGUGGUAGAUCAAGGGUUCACGGCUCAGUUUCCUGGAUGGCAAGCCCCAGCUCUUUGCACUUGAUCUUACCAGGUUAAGCAGGACCUGCUGUACAGGUGAGAUGAGCUUUGAUCAAGGCCAGGGUGGACAAGGCUCACCCUGCCCGCAGCUCUAAGGGGACUGUAAGGGGGUUACCCAGCUUCUGCAAGUGAGCACCUUCAGGCACAUCACGGCUACGGGAAGUGACUCACUCACUCCGCGUCCUUGUCUCUGGCCAUGUUUGCUGGCAGCUCUGAGCCUGUGUGAACAUGAAGUAGGUCAGGCCACCAGCCAGCCCUGCAGCUAGCACCGCACCAUCAGUGAAAGUGUGGGGCAACGACCAGCUUGGGAAAACUUCACCGACAAACGGGCUGUGCCACUCUGGUUAGCAUGGGCAUCGCUGCCCGUGUCACUCAUGGAAGUUCUAGAGCAGAGACCUAGGAAAAUAUCGAGACUGCGGGACUUUAAAGAGAAGGCAUCCUGGUGCAUUCUAAGAGUCCUGGAUAAAAAUACAGUCCCACCCCCAGAAAAUUACACUCACCUCUGUGUUCCAUAAUUGCCCCAAACACAUCUAUCCCCUUCCUGCUUCCACGCAAAUAAACCUUUGAAGAUUUCUUUGCGAUCAUCCCACCUUAACGGGGCCCAGAGUCUGUUGUGGGAA